CAUGGUUGAAGAGUCGGAUACAUUUUUAGUGUUAUCUUCCUCAAUGCUCUUGGUAAUAGCACUAUGGCGGUGAAUUUCCAGUUCUAGAUCACUUUUCUGAGAGUUUUCUUUAGAUAUCCUUGUAUUCAACUGAGGUAGUUCAGAAGACUGUAUAUCAGAAAAGGGUUUCCAUUUAUUUCCGGAGUCCCUUUCAGACAAAUCAGCUACUGACCCAACCUCAAAUGUG
RNAcentral lists this unclassified non-coding RNA (226 nucleotides) under Hevea brasiliensis (rubber tree). The record is from RNAcentral. Lineage: Eukaryota; Viridiplantae; Streptophyta; Magnoliopsida; Malpighiales; Euphorbiaceae.